Molecule: ribosomal RNA, 497 nt
Filed under: uncultured bacterium
Lineage: Bacteria
Description: partial 16S ribosomal RNA
Rfam family: Bacterial small subunit ribosomal RNA
Source: RNAcentral
GAUGAACGCUGGCGGCGUGCCUAAUACAUGCAAGUCGAGCGAACAGAUGAGGAGCUUGCUCCUCUGACGUUAGCGGCGGACGGGUGAGUAACACGUGGAUAACCUACCUAUAAGACUGGGAUCACUUCGGGAAACCGGAGCUAAUACCGUAUAAUAUAUUGAACCGCAUGGUUCAAUAGUGAAAUACGGUUUUGCUGUCACUUAUAGAUGGAUCCGCGCCGCAUUAGCUAGUUGGUAAGGUAACGGCUUACCAAGGCAACGAUGCGUAGCCGACCUGAGAGAGUGAUCGGCCACACUGGAACUGAGACACGGUCCAGACUACUACGGGAGGCAGCAGUAGGGAAUCGGCCGCAAUGGGCGAAAGCCUGACGGAGCAACGCCGCGUGAGUGAUGAAGGUCUUCGGAUCGUAAAACUCUGUUAUUAGGGAAGAACAAAUGUGUAAGUAACUAUGCACGUCUUGACGGUACCUAAUCAGAAAGCCACGGCUAACUACGUG